GAUGAACGCUAGCGGCAGGCUUAAUACAUGCAAGUCGAGGGGCAGCGGGAGUAGCAAUACUUGCCGGCGACCGGCGCACGGGUGCGUAACACGUAUGUAAUCUGCCCAUCACAGGAGGAUAGCCCGGAGAAAUUCGGAUUAAUACUCCAUAAUAGAAGAUAAAGCAUUUUAUUUUCUUGAAAGUUCCGACGGUGAUGGAUGAACAUGCGACUGAUUAGUUUGUUGGUGAGGUAACGGCUCACCAAGACUACGAUCAGUAGGGGUACUGAGAGGUUAAACCCCCACACUGGUACUGAGACACGGACCAGACUCCUACGGGAGGCAGCAGUAAGGAAUAUUGGACAAUGGCCGCAAGGCUGAUCCAGCCAUGCCGCGUGCAGGACGAAGGCCUU
This 392-nucleotide ribosomal RNA is filed under the name uncultured bacterium. RNAcentral describes it as "bacterial SSU rRNA". It matches the Rfam family "Bacterial small subunit ribosomal RNA", at positions 28 to 418 of the family's 1533-position model. The record is from RNAcentral.